This 650-nucleotide small RNA is filed under the name Pan troglodytes (chimpanzee). RNAcentral's name for it is "retained intron". The record is from RNAcentral. Lineage: Eukaryota; Metazoa; Chordata; Mammalia; Primates; Hominidae.
CAGUAAUUUAGAUAGAAUUAACAAAUACCAAAAAUCAGUCUGAUUAGUUAUCCAUUGGUGACUGCUUCUGUGGCAAAGAUGACAGAAAGACUGUCAAACAUUGAACUCCUUUAAGUGAAUUUACAAGGUUAACAUUUUUCAGAUAAUGAUCAUGAAAAAUGACAUUGUGUAACAUUUUUUCAUCAUUUCAGAUGAGGCUGUGGACCCAGGCUAGACAGAUGGGAUGGUAUGCAGCAAAGUGCAUGGCUGCAGCGAGUUCAGGAGACUAUAUUGACAUGGAUUUCAGCUUUGAACUGUUUGCUCAUGUGACAAAAUUUUUUAACUAUAAGGUUGUACUGCUGGGAAAAUACAAUGCACAGGGCUUAGGUUCAGAUCAUGAAUUAAUGCUGAGAUGUACCAAAGGACAAGAAUACAUCAAAGUCGUCAUGCAAAAUGGACGAAUGAUGGGAGCUGUCUUAAUUGGUGAAACUGAUUUAGAAGAAACAUUUGAAAACCUAAUCUUAAACCAAAUGAAUCUUUCAUCAUAUGGAGAAGAUCUGCUAGAUCCAAAUAUUGAUAUAGAAGAUUAUUUUGACUAAAAAUGGAAUUUCUUCAGGAAUCAUAUAAAGUUCCAAAUGACACCAGAAAAAUCACAAGUCAAUAAAAUGAAU